This 253-nucleotide ribosomal RNA is filed under the name uncultured bacterium. Its description in RNAcentral is "partial 16S ribosomal RNA". It matches the Rfam family "Bacterial small subunit ribosomal RNA", at positions 524 to 776 of the family's 1533-position model. The record is from RNAcentral.
UACAGAGGUGCCAAGCGUUAGGCGGAAUCACUGGGCUUAAAGCGUGUGUAGGCGGAUCGUUAAGUACCUUGUGAAAUCCCACGGCUUAACCGUGGAACUGCUCGGUAUACUGGCGGUCUUGAGCAACCUAGGGGCGAGCGGAACAAAUGGUGGAGCGGUGAAAUGCGUAGAUAUCAUUUGGAACGCCAAUGGUGAAAACAGCUCGCUGGGGGUUUGCUGACGCUGAGACACGAAAGCCAGGGGAGCAAACGGG